Molecule: ribosomal RNA, 491 nt
Filed under: uncultured bacterium
Lineage: Bacteria
Description: partial 16S ribosomal RNA
Rfam family: Bacterial small subunit ribosomal RNA
Source: RNAcentral
AGUGAACGCUGGCGGUAGGCCUAACACAUGCAAGUCGAACGGCAGCACAGUAAGAGCUUGCUCUUACGGGUGGCGAGUGGCGGACGGGUGAGGAAUACACCGGAAUCCACUUUUUCGUGGGGGAUAACGAAGGGAAACUUACGCUAAUACCGCAUACGACCUACGGGUGAAAGCAGAAGAUCUUUGGAUGUUGGGCGAGUGAAUGAGCCGUGGGCGGAUUAGCUGGUUGGUGGGGUAAAGGCCCACCAAGGCGACGAUCCGUAGCUGGGCUGAGAGGAUGAUCCGCCACGAUGGAGCUGAGAGACGCACCAGGAUCCUACGGCGGGCAGGAGUGGGAAAUAUUGGAGAAGGGGCGCAAGCCUGAUCCAGCCAGACCGCGUGGGUGAAGAAGGCCUCCGGGUUGUAAAGCCCUUUUGUUGGGAAAGAAAAGCAGCAGGUUGAGGCCCCGCUGUUCGGACGGUACCCAAAGAAUAAGCACCGGCUAACUUCGU